GGCGCCAUCGUCUAGGGGUUAGGACACAGGAUUCUCAUUCCUGUAACUGGGGUUCGAUUCCCCAUGGCGCUACCA
Molecule: transfer RNA, 75 nt
Filed under: Candidatus Peregrinibacteria bacterium
Lineage: Bacteria; Candidatus Peregrinibacteriota
Also listed under: 1 other name
Description: tRNA-Glu
Rfam family: tRNA
About the family: Transfer RNA (tRNA) molecules are approximately 80 nucleotides in length. Their secondary structure includes four short double-helical elements and three loops (D, anti-codon, and T loops). Further hydrogen bonds mediate the characteristic L-shaped molecular structure. tRNAs have two regions of fundamental functional importance: the anti-codon, which is responsible for specific mRNA codon recognition, and the 3' end, to which the tRNAs corresponding amino acid is attached (by aminoacyl-tRNA synthetases). tRNAs cope with the degeneracy of the genetic code in two manners: having more than one tRNA (with a specific anti-codon) for a particular amino acid; and 'wobble' base-pairing, i.e. permitting non-standard base-pairing at the 3rd anti-codon position.
Source: RNAcentral